This 253-nucleotide ribosomal RNA is filed under the name uncultured bacterium. RNAcentral's name for it is "partial 16S ribosomal RNA". It matches the Rfam family "Bacterial small subunit ribosomal RNA", at positions 524 to 776 of the family's 1533-position model. The record is from RNAcentral.
UACAGAGGUCCCAAGCGUUGUUCGGAUUCACUGGGCGUAAAGGGUGCGUAGGUGGCAAGGUAAGUUUAAUGUGAAAUCUCCGAGCCUAACUCGGAAACUGCAUUGAAUACUAUCUAGCUCGAGGAUUGGAGGGGAGACUGGAAUACUUGGUGUAGCAGUGAAAUGCGUAGAUAUCAAGUGGAACAUCAGUGGCGAAGGCGAGUCUCUGGACAAUUCCUGACACUGAGGCACGAAAGCUAGGGGAGCAAACGGG